UGUGCUUUCUGACCUCGUGGAACCCGAAUCAUACGGUCGUGGCAGUUGGGUCCCAAUCAGCCCCGUAAUACCCCAAAUCAUCAUUGGUUUUGCAACUGGACUCCCUAUCCUAUAUUUCUCGAUAGUACGAUGACAAUUGCAGGGGCUGAGUUAGGCCCUACCAAAACUCACCCACUAUAUAUGUAUGUCCAUUCCUAGCCUAACCCUAGCCUACCGUGUCCAAUCCCUUGUUCCGCCGCCACAUGGUCACGUUGGAAUCCCGAGCUACCCAACCAGCGCUCACCCUGCUCGAUCCAGCCGAGCCAUCUAGCACCGAUCCCCUCACCACCGCAGCCAAUCAAGCCUCGAUCUCCUUGCGUGUAGGCUCCCCUACUUCUUGGACUUGUCGGGCAGCCUGAAGUGGCCAUCGUCCGCGUGCCCACAGGGCAGACCUCAGCCUGCCAGCUGCGGAGUCGCCUCCGCCACAAGGAUGUUGGCGUUCUCCUGCCCGUCUCUAUUUCCGCACGGGAGGAGCGCCUCACCCACCCCUAGAUCUGCCGACCCCAAGAUUCGCUGAGGCCUUGCCUCUGCCUCCAUCUUCUGUCGGCGAGCAGAGCCGUCAGAGCGCCUCGCCAUCACCUUGUUGGUCGUUCACUUCAGGAACCAUCAUGGCAGACCAAAGCUUUGACCCGUGUUGCCCGCUCAUCCUCGACCCCAGCAACGCCGACCUCCCAAGACCCUCCUUCCACAUGAGGAACCGCGCCCCAUCACCUAUUAGCCGUCGGAUUCGCUCCGUCCCGCUGUCCUACGCCCAUUCCCGACGGGUCCCCGUCGCCAGAAGCCAUGCCAUGUCGCAACCUCCCCUGCACUGUCGGCCUUGCCUCAGUUUCAACCUAGAGACGACCGAGCAGGUCGUGCCCGUGGCCUUUGACCGCGUGCCGCCCGUGUGGACCUUUCCAGCGCAUCUCGCGGAUCAAACCAGCCUGCCUCAGCCUCCUCACCACAUGGGCUUAUCCCAUGGUGAGCGCACUCCCCUUUGUCUUUAAUGUUUGUGGAGGUCACCUACUACUAUGUCGCGCAUAUGACCGUAGUCGAGAUGGUUGGUUGCAUGGGGUCAUGGGUUCGAUUUCCAACCGCUUGUGUAUUUUGCCAUGGGUUUUUUCCCUUUUGCACACACACCCUAUCAUGUUGGGCCACUCCACGGCCGUAGAUUAGGCCCGAUAACAUUUUUACGGCGUGCAAAUUUAUCUAUUUAUCCAGAGAUUCAGUUUAUAGAAAACAUCACCAUUUUGCAUGCUCAUA
Long non-coding RNA from Hordeum vulgare subsp. vulgare (domesticated barley), 1281 nucleotides. RefSeq lists it as uncharacterized. NCBI's taxonomy places the organism in Eukaryota, Viridiplantae, Streptophyta, Magnoliopsida, Poales, Poaceae. The record is from RefSeq and is a predicted model, not a curated record. The transcript has 2 exons.